UUCCUACGGGAGGCAGCAGUGGGGAAUAUUGGACAAUGGGGGAAACCCUGAUCCAGCGACGCCGCGUGAGUGAAGAAGUAUUUCGGUACGUAAAGCUCUAUCAGCAGGAAAGAAAAUGACGGUACCUGACUAAGAAGCCCCGGCUAACUACGUGCCAGCAGCCGCGGUAAUACGUAGGGAGCGAGCGUUGUCCGGAUUUACUGGGUGUAGAGGGUGCGUAGGCGGGUAAGCAAGUCAGAAGUGAAAUCCAUGGGCUUAACCCAUGAACUGCUUUUGAAACUGUUUAUCUUGAGUGAAGUAGAGGG
Molecule: ribosomal RNA, 305 nt
Filed under: uncultured bacterium
Lineage: Bacteria
Description: bacterial SSU rRNA
Rfam family: Bacterial small subunit ribosomal RNA
Source: RNAcentral